Peromyscus maniculatus bairdii (prairie deer mouse) is the source of this 486-nucleotide RNA transcript. It is a transcript of the gene named female-specific lacrimal gland protein-like, with no coding region annotated. The record is from RefSeq and is a predicted model, not a curated record. NCBI's taxonomy places the organism in Eukaryota, Metazoa, Chordata, Mammalia, Rodentia, Cricetidae.
AGGGAACACCAUUGGAUCACAGAAGAAAGGAAAUGGAGAAUAUACUGGCUCUAGUAAUUUCUGGACCUUAACUACAAGAUUCAGACCCAUCCCACGUUUCUGGAUUUACUCCCCAGAUCUUGGAAAGAGAGUCUCAGGUAUGCCUCAAUUUUCAUUGAUUAAAGUAUCAGACAUCACCAUCUUGUUUCAAGUUUUCUAUAUUAAACACAGUGGGAAAACAAUGUGACAGCAGCAUUGUCAACAUCAUCAACUCUGGAUAAUGAUUCAAAGGAAGAGUAUUUCAAAGCAACUAAUCUAUACAAUAUCCCUUCUGAAAAUAUCAGAGAUAUGACACAAACAGACUCAUGCCCAUCCUGAAUGAAUAUACCGAAUAAGUUAUAAGAAGAUUGAGACAAUAUUCAGCAACACUUGCCCUGUGGAAUGAGAAUCCUAGAUAUAAAUUUAAAUGUAUUUUCUUUCAAAAUUACACGUUUAGUUUUCUUAGAA